GAUGAACGCUGGCGGCGUGCCUAAUACAUGCAAGUCGAGCGAACAGAUGAGGAGCUUGCUCCUCUGACGUUAGCGGCGGACGGGUGAGUAACACGUGGAUAACCUACCUAUAAGACUGGGAUAACUUCGGGAAACCGGAGCUAAUACCGGAUAAUAUAUUGAACCGCAUGGUUCAAUAGUGAAAGACGGUUUUGCUGUCACUUAUAGAUGGAUCCGCGCCGCAUUAGCUAGUUGGUAAGGUAACGGCUUACCAAGGCAACGAUGCGUAGCCGACCUGAGAGGGUGAUCGGCCACACUGGAACUGAGACACGGUCCAGACUCCUACGGGAGGCAGCAGUAGGGAAUCUUCCGCAAUGGGCGAAAGCUUGACGGAGCAACGCCGCGUGAGCGAUGAAGGUCUUCGGAUCGUAAAACUCUGUUAUUAGGGAAGAACAAAUGUGUAAGUAACUAUGCACGUCUUGACGGUACCUAAUCAGAAAGCCACGGCUAACUACGUG
This 497-nucleotide ribosomal RNA is filed under the name uncultured bacterium. Its description in RNAcentral is "partial 16S ribosomal RNA". It matches the Rfam family "Bacterial small subunit ribosomal RNA", at positions 28 to 507 of the family's 1533-position model. The record is from RNAcentral.